GACGAACGCUGGCGGCGUGCCUAAUACAUGCAAGUAAAACGCUGAAGAGAGGAGCUUACUCUUCUUGGAUGAGUUGCGAACGGGUGAGUAACGCGUAGGUAACCUGCCUUGUAGCGGGGGAUAACUAUUGGAAACGAUAGCUAAUACCGCAUAACAAUGGAUGACACAUGCCAUUUAUUUGAAAGGGGCAAUUGCUCCACUACAAGAUGGACCUGCGUUGUAUUAGCUAGUAGGUGAGGUAAUGGCUCACCUAGGCGACGAUACAUAGCCGACCUGAGAGGGUGAUCGGCCACACUGGGACUGAGACGCGGCCCAGACUCCUACGGGAGGCAGCAGUAGGGAAUCUUCGGCAAUGGGGGCAACCCUGACCGAGCAACGCCGCGUGAGUGAAGAAGGUUUUCGGAUCGUAAAGCUCUGUUGUAAGUCAAGAACGGGUGUGAGAGUGGAAAGUUCACACUGUGACGGUAGCUUACCAGAAAGGGACGGCUAACUACGUG
Molecule: ribosomal RNA, 497 nt
Filed under: uncultured bacterium
Lineage: Bacteria
Description: partial 16S ribosomal RNA
Rfam family: Bacterial small subunit ribosomal RNA
Source: RNAcentral